GACGAACGCUGGCGGCGUGCUUAACACAUGCAAGUCGAACGGAAAGGCCCUGCUUUUGUGGGGUGCUCGAGUGGCGAACGGGUGAGUAACACGUGAGUAACCUGCCCUUGACUUUGGGAUAACUUCAGGAAACUGGGGCUAAUACCGGAUAGGAGCUCCUGCUGCAUGGUGGGGGUUGGAAAGUUUCGGCGGUUGGGGAUGGACUCGCGGCUUAUCAGCUUGUUGGUGGGGUAGUGGCUUACCAAGGCUUUGACGGGUAGCCGGCCUGAGAGGGUGACCGGCCACAUUGGGACUGAGAUACGGCCCAGACUCCUACGGGAGGCAGCAGUGGGGAAUAUUGCACAAUGGGCGGAAGCCUGAUGCAGCAACGCCGCGUGCGGGAUGACGGCCUUCGGGUUGUAAACCGCUUUCGCCUGUGACGAAGCGUGAGUGACGGUAAUGGGUAAAGAAGCACCGGCUAACUACGUGCCAGCAGCCGCGGUGAUACGUAGGGUGCGAGCGUUGUCCGGAUUUAUUGGGCGUAAAGGGCUCGUAGGUGGUUGAUCGCGUCGGAAGUGUAAUCUUGGGGCUUAACCCUGAGCGUGCUUUCGAUACGGGUUGACUUGAGGAAGGUAGGGGAGAAUGGAAUUCCUGGUGGAGCGGUGGAAUGCGCAGAUAUCAGGAGGAACACCAGUGGCGAAGGCGGUUCUCUGGGCCUUUCCUGACGCUGAGGAGCGAAAGCGUGGGGAGCGAACAGGCUUAGAUACCCUGGUAGUCCACGCUGUAAACGGUGGGUACUAGGUGUGGGGUCCAUUCCACGGGUUCCGUGCCGUAGCUAACGCUUUAAGUACCCCGCCUGGGGAGUACGGCCGCAAGGCUAAAACUCAAAGGAAUUGACGGGGCCCCGCACAAGCGGCGGAGCAUGCGGAUUAAUUCGAUGCAACGCGUAGAACCUUACCUGGGUUUGACAUGGAUCGGGAGCGCUCAGAGAUGGGUGUGCCUCUUUUGGGGUCGGUUCACAGGUGGUGCAUGGCUGUCGUCAGCUCGUGUCGUGAGAAGUUGGGUUAAGUCCCGCAACGAGCGCAACCCUUGUUCACUGUUGCCAGCACGUUAUGGUGGGGACUCAGUGGAGACCGCCGGGGUCAACUCGGAGGAAGGUGGGGAUGACGUCAAGUCAUCAUGCCCCUUAUGUCCAGGGCUUCACGCAUGCUACAAUGGCUGGUACAGAGAGUGGCGAGCCUGUGAGGGUGAGCGAAUCUCGGAAAGCCGGUCUCAGUUCGGAUUGGGGUCUGCAACUCGACCUCAUGAAGUCGGAGUCGCUAGUAAUCGCAGAUCAGCAACGCUGCGGUGAAUACGUUCCCGGG
This 1343-nucleotide ribosomal RNA is filed under the name uncultured bacterium. RNAcentral describes it as "16S ribosomal RNA". It matches the Rfam family "Bacterial small subunit ribosomal RNA", at positions 28 to 1378 of the family's 1533-position model. The record is from RNAcentral.